This 1279-nucleotide long non-coding RNA is filed under the name Equus caballus (horse). RNAcentral describes it as "lncRNA (ENSECAG00000045286.1)". The record is from RNAcentral. Lineage: Eukaryota; Metazoa; Chordata; Mammalia; Perissodactyla; Equidae.
GUUUGGGGAGAUCAAAAGUUCCCUAUGAUGGCCAUUGGUGUUCUAAAUUUUUUUUGGUUAAAUCAGUUCAUUUAGUUAAAAAUUCACCUGAAGAGGAACCAUAGUUUUGUUUUGUUUUGUUUUGUUUUUGAGGAAGAUUAGCCCUGAGCUAACUACUGCCAAUCCUCCUCUUUUUUCUGAGGAAGACUGGCCCUGAGCUAACAUCCAUGCCCAUCUUCCUCUACUUUAUACGUGGGAUGCCCACCACAGCAUGGCUUUUGCCAAGCGGUGCCAUGUCCACACCUGGGAUCCGAACCAGCGAACCCCAGGCUGCCAAGAAGCAGAACAUGCAAACUUAACCGCUGCGCCACCAGGCUGACCCAUAGAGACCAUAGUUUUUAAACACAAAACUAGCUGGGGUCCCUGAAGGAGGGCUGCCCUUAAACAUUUAGAUGACUGGUAUCCCAUUUCUCACAUUUCCCCAAGGACAAAAGAAAAUUCCUAGCUAGCCCACUUCCAAAAGGAAACUUACCGAAGUUUCAGCAUGCUUCCUAAAGGAAAAUAACCAAGCACUCACCAACAACAAAGCCUUGACACCAAGGAUGAAGCCCUGAAUCAGAAAGGACAAAGCCUCUCAUGAUUCUGAAUAAAGUUGGAGAGUUCAAAAAGCAAGGAAUGCUGAGCUCAGAAUUCAAGAGGAGACUUACCAAACUGAAGGUGCAAAUUUCCAAAAUAAAAAAGGAAAAAUGCCAAAUAUGAAAAUUGAGAGAAGAGAGAGAAAAGAGGUAGAAUAGGAUAAUUGACCAUAGAUAGUUAAUAUGUAGGCAUCAAAGGAUACUCUUAAAAAUUCAGUUAAGGUAAUCCAUAAUAUCAACAGGUCAGAGAAGAAAAAUCACAUGAUCAUAUCAAUAGAUGUAGAAAAAGCAUUUGACAAAAUCCAACACCCAUUCAUAAUAAAAACUCUUAGCAAACUAGGAAUAGAGGGGAACUUUCUCAAGUCGAUAAAGAUUAUUUACAAAAAAACCCUACAGCUAAUAUCGUACUUAAUAGUGAAAAUCUUGAAGCUUUCCCAUUAAGAAGAUACAAGGCAAGGAUGUCCCUUCCCACCACUACUUUUCAACAUCAUACGGAAAUCCUUGCUAAUGCAGUAAGGCGAGGAAAGGAAAUAAAAAGUAUACAGAAGGAAGGAAGGAAGACAUAAAACUCUGGUUGCAGAUGACAUGACCAUCUAUGUAGGAAAAAAAAUUUACAAAAAACCCCUCCUGGACUAAUAAGCAAUUAAAGCAAGGUUGAGGAUACA